GAGUUUGAUCCUGGCUCAGAUUGAACGCUGGCGGAAUGCUUUACACAUGCAAGUCGAGCGGCAGCGCGGGGCAACCUGGCGGCGAGCGGCGAACGGGUGGGUAAUGCAUCGGAACAUGUCCAUGUCGUGGGGGAUAGCCCGGCGAAAGCCGGAUUAAUACCGCAUACGCCCGAGAGGGGAAAGCCGGGGACCGCAAGGCCUGGCGCGAUUGGGUUGGCCGAUGUCCGAUUAGCUAGUUGGCGGGGUAAGAGCCCACCAAGGCGAUGAUCGGUAGCUGGUCUGAGAGGAUGAUCAGCCACACUGGGACUGAGACACGGCCCAGACUCCUACGGGAGGCAGCAGUGGGGAAUUUUGGACAAUGGGGGCAACCCUGAUCCAGCCAUUCCGCGUGAGUGAAGAAGGCCUUCGGUUGUAAG
RNAcentral lists this ribosomal RNA (416 nucleotides) under uncultured beta proteobacterium. RNAcentral's name for it is "bacterial SSU rRNA". It matches the Rfam family "Bacterial small subunit ribosomal RNA", at positions 9 to 429 of the family's 1533-position model. Lineage: Bacteria; Pseudomonadati; Pseudomonadota; Betaproteobacteria. The record is from RNAcentral.